This 83-nucleotide microRNA precursor is filed under the name Mustela putorius furo (domestic ferret). RNAcentral describes it as "miRNA (ENSMPUG00000021345.1)". The record is from RNAcentral. Lineage: Eukaryota; Metazoa; Chordata; Mammalia; Carnivora; Mustelidae.
UAGGGUGACCAACCAGCCUGGUUUGCCUGGGACUGAGGGGUUUCCCACGAUGUGAGAUUUUAAAUGCUAAAAGUAGGACAGUC